AUAAAAAUUAGACCGCUAAUGUCGCUGCAAAUGUUGUGACCAACAUCUAGUUUGCAUGUUUCAGAGGUGGUACUCAAAGUGUCAAAUUUUUCUUCAAUUCAAUCAUAGUAACGUGUUUUCGAAAUCAAAACAUAAUCUCUGUCAUAGUUCUUGCCAUCGUACUUGAGUCGUGAUGACUUGAGAAAAAAAAGUUUUUCGUGUGCCUUGAUGAUUUGUAACUUUAAAGGCAAAGGAAAACAUCUUCAAUUGGUGUCGUUCCACAGGAUCGCAUAGAUUGAGGAGGUUCAAUGAAAGACAAUACGGAUGGCGGAUUAGCUUUUGCUCCUAGUUCUUUCAACCUGCUGCAGGAAAAAGUUUUUGUCUGCUACGGUUUGACCAUAUGUAAGGAAGUCUGAAAACCGUGAAGAUCAAAUGCUUCUAUGUUUGCACAUUCCUAAUUGAUUUUUAUUAUUUAUGGUUGGGCGAAGAGAAAAAGUUGUAGCAAAUAAACGUUUUUUUUUAUUCAAA
This 507-nucleotide long non-coding RNA is filed under the name Aedes aegypti (yellow fever mosquito). RNAcentral describes it as "lncRNA AAEL020566". The record is from RNAcentral. Lineage: Eukaryota; Metazoa; Arthropoda; Insecta; Diptera; Culicidae.